UGCUCAAUCAUAACCUUUAUAAUUAUCCGAUUAAAGACAACGUUUGGUUAUGUCAAAACAUAAUAGUCCUUAUGUUGGAAACUAUGACAAUCUCAAGUCAAAGGAUUAAGACAUAACUACUUUGAGAUUCACUUAUGACAAUGACCCAUGUAGUGAUCUCAAUGCGGGUCCAUCCAAUACUUUGUUCUCCAACAAGUAUUUAUGAUUAUUGAAUUAUAUCAACAUAUACAUAAUCAUCUCAUGAUUAUCAAUCAAUAACCAUACCAGUUAUAUUUUAUUAUUAUCAACAUAAUAAUAAGUAACCAGGGAUGAUAAUCAUUAUUAUGUAACAUGCAAAC
This 338-nucleotide long non-coding RNA is filed under the name Manihot esculenta (cassava). Its description in RNAcentral is "long non-coding RNA (MESC_LNC006660)". Lineage: Eukaryota; Viridiplantae; Streptophyta; Magnoliopsida; Malpighiales; Euphorbiaceae. The record is from RNAcentral.